AACGAACGCUGGCGGCAGGCUUAACACAUGCAAGUCGAACGCCCCGCAAGGGGAGUGGCAGACGGGUGAGUAACGCGUGGGAAUCUACCCUGAACUGCGGGAUAGCUCCGGGAAACUAGAAUUAAUACCGCAUGUGCCUUGAGGGGCAAAGAUUUAUCGGUUCAGGAUGAGCCCGCGUCCGAUUAGCUAGUUGGUGGGGUAAAGGCCUACCAAGGCGACGAUCGGUAGCUGGUCUAAGAGGAUGAUCAGCCACGUUGGGACUGAGACACGGCCCAAACUCCUACGGGAGGCAGCAGUGGGGAAUAUUGGACAAUGGGCGCAAGCCUGAUCCAGCCAUGCCGCGUGAGUGAUGAAGGCCCUAGGGUUGUAAAGCUCUUUCGGUGGGGACGAUAAUGACGGUACCCACAGAAGAAGCCCCGGCUAACUUCGUGCCAGCAGCCGCCGUAA
This 447-nucleotide ribosomal RNA is filed under the name uncultured bacterium. Its description in RNAcentral is "partial 16S ribosomal RNA". It matches the Rfam family "Bacterial small subunit ribosomal RNA", at positions 29 to 523 of the family's 1533-position model. The record is from RNAcentral.